CAUGACAUUAUUUGGGGUUGUUUCCGAAGCUCUCCUAGUGUUUACUCAAUUAUCAAGGGACACAUGUGUAAAGUUGGAAAGAACGUGGACAUGUCAAGUCAGGCUCAGGCAGAACCACAGUCGACUGUUACGUGGAAUAAGCAGGUUCUGGUGUCAAAGCCCUGGAGUGUUCAGCCCUGCAUGGGUCCCCCAGCUGUGACUGGUGAUGGCAUUCAGCAGGCCCAGGCUGCUGUGUGUGUGAAGGCAGUGCGCCCAUGGGAUGAUGUGAGCUGCCCUGAGAUUCUCAAGGCCCAUGCGCGAGUGUGGUGGACAGCUCUGGAGGUCAGUGCCCACAUCAUUGCUUGGUGUAGAUUUAGGUGCAUGCAUUUCUUUAUUGCCAGGGUCAAAGAUCAUGCUCUUUGCACAAAAGUACACAAAGAAACACAAACACUUUCUUCUCCCUUGAAAAGGCAGGAUGCUGAUGGAGGGGACCCUAGGGAGGCCAGAGCCGCUCUCCCCCAGCUGCCUCCACUCACACCACCCUUGUAGGGGGAGACGGACCCAAUGGUGGAUCUGGUCUCCUAUACUCACUGCAUCUCUCAUGCCUACACCAAGGACCAAACGCCAUUUACUGGUACUGAGUACCAAGAGAGAAAACAUCCCAGGAAUCCAGCUGAGCUCUCAUGCCUACACCAAGGACCAAACGCCGUUUAUUGGUACUGAGUAAAUUUUCCUGGGGGUCAGCAAGAGAGAAAACAUCCCAGGAAUCCAGCUGAUUUAGACUAUCCAUGCUACGUAAGCUGUCUAGCCAUGUUCAUUGGAAAUUUGGGAAAGGGGAGUCCUGUUAGCAUUAGUCAAAGACCUUGUCUAGUGAUAUGUGGUUUGUGAUACCUACCUUAUCACCUUUUGCAAGCCUUCCAAGUUGCUUCGUAGACACCUAUUUUGUCCUCACAGUAUCUUUUGAGAUGUGGAUUCCAUUAUCCUUCAAUAAAUGGGGAAAGUAUGGCUCAAAAGAAGGAGAGUGGGACAAAUAGAGUAGCGCUGAAACAUAUGCACUAACCUAUGUAAAACAGGUAGUUGGAGGGAAUUUGCUCUAUGAUGCAGGGAGCACAAACCCUGUGCUCUGUGACAACCUAGAUGGGUGGAAUGGGGCGGGAGGGGGAUUCAGGAGGGAGGGGACAUAUGUGUACCUAUGGCUGCUUCAUGCUGAGGUAUGGCAGAAAUCAAC
RNAcentral lists this long non-coding RNA (1207 nucleotides) under Ovis aries (sheep). RNAcentral's name for it is "lncRNA (ENSOARG00000026519.1)". The record is from RNAcentral. Lineage: Eukaryota; Metazoa; Chordata; Mammalia; Artiodactyla; Bovidae.